Unclassified non-coding RNA from Callithrix jacchus (white-tufted-ear marmoset), 148 nucleotides. It matches the Rfam family "Metazoan signal recognition particle RNA". Rfam says of the family: The signal recognition particle (SRP) is a universally conserved ribonucleoprotein. Lineage: Eukaryota; Metazoa; Chordata; Mammalia; Primates; Cebidae. The record is from Ensembl.
GCUGGGCAUGGUGACACGUGCCUGUAGUCCCAGCUACUUGGGAGGCUGAGGUGGGAGAAUUACUUGAACCCAGGAGGCAGAGGUUGCAGUGAGUCAAGGUCACACCACUGCAUUCUAGCCUGGAUGACAGAGUGAGACCCUGUCUCUU